Molecule: ribosomal RNA, 247 nt
Filed under: uncultured bacterium
Lineage: Bacteria
Description: partial 16S ribosomal RNA
Rfam family: Bacterial small subunit ribosomal RNA
Source: RNAcentral
AUACGUAGGGUGCAAGCGUUAAUCGGAAUUACUGGGCGUAAAGCGUGCGCAGGCGGUUUCGCAAGUCAGAUGUGAAAUCCCCGGGCUCAACCUGGGAAUGGCAGUGGAUACUGGCAAGCUAGAGUGUGUCAGAGGGUGGUGGAAUUCCCGGUGUAGCGGUGAAAUGCGUAGAGAUCGGGAGGAACAUCAGUGGCGAAGGCGGCCACCUGGGACAACACUGACGCUGAGGCACGAAAGCGUGGGGAGC